UGGGGAAUAUUGCACAAUGGGCGCAAGCCUGAUGCAGCAACGCCGCGUGAACGAUGAAGGUCUUCGGAUCGUAAAGUUCUGUUGCAGGGGAAGAUAAUGACGGUACCCUGUGAGGAAGCCCCGGCUAACUACGUGCCAGCAGCCGCGGUAAUACGUAGGGGGCUAGCGUUAUCCGGAAUUAUUGGGCGUAAAGCGCGCGCAGGUGGUUUAGAAAGUCUGAUGUGAAAGCCCACGGCUCAACCGUGGAGGGUCAUUGGAAACUAAUAAACUUGAGUGCAGGAGAGAAAAGUGGAAUUCCUAGUGUAGCGGUGAAAUGCGUAGAGAUUAGGAGGAACACCGGUGGCGAAAGCGGCUUUUUGGCCUGCAACUGACACUGAGGCGCGAAAGCGUGGGGAGCAAACAGG
This 404-nucleotide ribosomal RNA is filed under the name Verrucomicrobiota bacterium. Its description in RNAcentral is "Verrucomicrobia bacterium partial 16S ribosomal RNA". It matches the Rfam family "Bacterial small subunit ribosomal RNA", at positions 355 to 776 of the family's 1533-position model. Lineage: Bacteria; Pseudomonadati; Verrucomicrobiota. The record is from RNAcentral.